This 373-nucleotide ribosomal RNA is filed under the name uncultured bacterium. Its description in RNAcentral is "partial 16S ribosomal RNA". It matches the Rfam family "Bacterial small subunit ribosomal RNA", at positions 29 to 312 of the family's 1533-position model. The record is from RNAcentral.
AGCGAACGCUGGCGGCAGGCCUAACACAUGCAAGUCGAGCGCCCCCUCCUUCAAGCGAGCUUGGAGGUUGCGGAGCGGUGUCUUCGGCGAGCGCAAGCUCGCUUGAAGGAAUCGUUAUCGAGAUCAAGCGAGCCGAGUAUCAUUUCGAGAUUUGGGCUCGCUUGAUGGAGGGGAGCGGCAGACGGGAGAGUAACACGUGGGAACGUACCCUCAGUUCGGAACAACCCAGGGAAACUUGGGCUAAUACCGGAUACGUCCGUAAGGAGAAAGAUUUAUCGCUGAAGGAUCGGCCCGCGUCUGAUUAGCUAGUUGGUGAGGUAACGGCUCACCAAGGCGACGAUCAGUAGCUGGUCUGAGAGGAUGAUCAGCCUCA